AACAGAAACGGGAAUAAGAGGUUUGAGUCUGAUCUUAUGGAGGGAAAAGCUAUUCUUCUUUGCCUUAUGGUGCUUGUGCAGCUAGGAAAUUCCGUUCAUGUUGACAAAUGUAGGGCGGUAAUUGCCUUUUCAGGCACCACAUGCAUAGAACUAUCUUGCAUGUUGGCCUGCCAGAAGUCGUUCGGAGAUCACGCCAUAAACUCGGCAUGUAGGCUCGUUAGCCUAGCCACUCUGAAUUGUUACUGCAAGGUCUGUGACUAGAGUUGUACUAAACCAUUGUACGUAUCAAAUAAUGGAUAAUGAUGAGAUCAAGCAAUAAAAUCCUCUUUGUGACAUGCAUGUGAGAAUAUAUAUUGAUCACCGAUUUUGGAUGUUC
Triticum dicoccoides is the source of this 376-nucleotide long non-coding RNA. RefSeq lists it as uncharacterized. Lineage: Eukaryota; Viridiplantae; Streptophyta; Magnoliopsida; Poales; Poaceae. The transcript is spliced from 2 exons. The record is from RefSeq and is a predicted model, not a curated record.